UGUUACAAUUUAACAAGGCCAUUAGUAGUUACACUAGAUGCCGAUGGAAUAGUCUACAUGGUGAUUCAUAGUUAAUGUCUUUUUUUUUUAAUGUAAUUUAAAUUUGAAUAAAAAAGUCAAUUUUUUAAAUAUAUAUAAUUUAUAAAAUUUCCAAAAAUUAUCCCAUUUUUUGUGCGUGUCAUCAACGAGGGCUGCAGUGCUUGUGAAUGGAGCGGCUACAAAUGAGUUUAGAAUGUUUAGAGGUCUCUGACAAGGGGAUCCAUUAUCCCCCUUUUUAUUCAUUCUGGUGACAGAAGUUUUGCAUCUGAUGUUAGUGGAAGCGGAGGAAUUAGGGGUCAUUGAGGGGUUUAAAGACGUUAUUCCUGGGCAUUCGGUUUCACAUCUACAAUUUGCGGACGACAUCAUUUUGUUUUUAAGGGCGGAUGAGGAUGUGGUAAGGAACACUAAGUAUAUUUUAUGUUGUUUUGAAAUUUUUUCUGGAUUAAGUAUAAAUUUUCGAAAAUCUUUCUUAGUGGGUUUUGAUACUGAAGAGGAGUUUGUAUUCAGAAUGGAUGUUGUUUGUAAAUGCAAAUUUGGGGAUUUACCGUUCAAUUACUUAGGUAUUCCUUUAGGUGCUGAUCCAAGGAAGAUAUCUUCUUGGGAUGGUAUUGUGAAGAGAGUUGAGAGGAAAUUAACGGGUUGGAAAAUGAUUAAAAAGAUUGAUAAAAUUUGACGAAACUUCUUGUGGGGAAGCGUUGGAGGUUAGAUGAAAAUGGCGAAGGUAAAAUGGAAUCAGAUUUGUUUGCCAAAGGCUAAAGGGGGCGCGGGAGUGGUGGACAUAAGGGUUAAAAAUAAGUCUCUCUUGGCUAAAUGGUGUUGGAGGUUCGCGGUGGAUAGAGAAGCUUUGUGGAGGAAAAUAAUUGCUGCAAAGUAUGGAAACUCCUACGCAACGUUGGUGUUUCAAAAUGAACAAUUCAAAAGAUAUGUCAGUGGUUUGCAAGGGUAUUGUGGAGAAUGCGAAAGAUUCGAUAGUAGCAAGAUGGGCAGGGAUUGAGUCUUUUAGAUGGCUGGUGGGGAAUGGACGUUCAAUAUUAUUCUGGGAGGAUGUUUGGUGUGGAGAUAGUCCUUUGAGAGCGGAAUUUCCAAGGCUAUUUCGUUUAGCCUUGAAUAAAAAUAGUCUGGUUAAAGAUUUCUCGAUGUUGAAUGGGUUCAUGGAGGUAAAUUGGGCUGAUUUAUUUUCUUGUCUGUUAUUGGAUGGGGAGAUUCAUAUGGUCUCUCGUUUAAAGGAAGCUUUGAGCAACAUAAUUUUGUUCCCUGAGGUGAAGGACAGAUUAUUAUGGAUUCAUGACAAUAAAGGGGUGUUUUCGGUGAGAAAAUUAACAGAAUUAUUGCUGAGUGUUGGGGGUGGAUUUAAGUUUCGAUUUUGAUAAAAUCUGGAAGUUAAAGGUGCCUCCUAGAGUGAGAAGUUUCCUUUGGAUGAUUUCAAUUGAUCGUCUUCCUACGAAGGAGUUCCUCAUUAGAAGAGGCGUGAAGCUUGGUCAAUUAAGGACGGUUGCCCUUGGUGCUACAGAGAACAGGAGACUGCGGUUCAUCUUUUCUUCCAUUGCAAUUUUAUUGAGAAUUUUUAGAGAAAAAUUUUGGAUUGGUGGGAGGUGAAAUGGAGGCCAUUUGAUGGUUUCCCUGAUUUUUUCUUAUUUUGUAAUAAUGUCUCUUAUUUAGGUGUGGUUAAAAGUUUAUGGAGGAUCUCGGUGUCAGCGCCUUGUUGGUCGGUAUGGUUAGCGAGGAAUAAGCUGAUGUUCGAUUGAAAGUGGCCGAAAAUGUCCAGUUUGGUUUUUCUUUCAAAGACUCAGGCUUUGAUGUAGAUAAGAUCGAUGUAUGAAGAAUUGAAAGUGGAUGAGCAAAUUUGGUGGGUCUAUCCAUAUAGAAGUUGGUGUAAUAUCAAAAAAGUGAGUGGCAGGUUUUGGUGUUCUCCGUGUUAUGGUGGGGUUAAAUUUAAUGUUUGUGGUGUGGCGUUUGAGGAUGAAGUCGGGUGUGGAGGGGUGUUAAAAAAUUCAAAUGGAGUGGCAAGGGCCUUAUUUUCUGGCCCGUUUACAGCAAAAGACUCCUUUGCUGCGGAGGACGGGACAAUAAGCAUUGCAUUGGAUAUGGUUUUAGAGAUGGGAUGAAAUGGUAAAUGCUCUUUAUUCAUUGAGGUUGGUUCAAUGGAGGUGUUUAAUUGGAUGGAGAAUAAAGGUUUGAGACCGUGGUUGCUGUUUUCUCUCUUUAAGGAAGUCGAGUUUAGGUUGUCGUUAAUUAGAAAUGUAUCCUUUUUUAUAGUGGACAAGAGUGGGAAUAAGAUGGCUUUUGCGCCGGCGGUUGUUGGUUUGAAAAGCCAGGGCAUGUUUAAGGCAUGGUGGUGACUCAAGGUGUGUUAUUGUUGUGCGCUUGUAGGUGUAUUUAUAGGUUGUGUUGUGGUUUUUUGGGGUGAUUUGUGCAAAUUUCUUUCUGUUUUGUGGUCUGUUUAACAGAGGGUUCAGUGGGGUUUUUGUGGUUUGUUUGUUGUAUUUUGUCUGUGAUUGGUUUUUGUUCCUAGGUGGGGACUGUUUUUCUUGCUGUUUGAUUUGCUUUGCUACAGUUUUGAAAGUUGCUGCACUUUGAUUAAGCAAAAAAAAAAAAAUUAUUAAAAAGUAUAA
Molecule: long non-coding RNA, 2651 nt
Organism: Gossypium arboreum
Lineage: Eukaryota; Viridiplantae; Streptophyta; Magnoliopsida; Malvales; Malvaceae
Exons: 2
Source: RefSeq, a predicted model, not a curated record